GACUUUGAUUAUGGCUCAGGAUGAACGCUAUCUACAGGCUUAACACAUGCAAGUCGAGGGGAAACGACAUCGAAAGCUUGCUUUUGAUGGGCGUCGACCGGCGCACGGGUGAGUAACGCGUAUCCAACCUGCCCAUCACUUGGGGAUAACCUUGCGAAAGUAAGACUAAUACCCAAUGACGUCUCUAGAGGACAUCUGAAAGAGAUUAAAGAUUUAUCGGUGAUGGAUGGGGAUGCGUCUGAUUAGCUUGUUGGCGGGGUAACGGCCCACCAAGGCUACGAUCAGUAGGGGUUCUGAGAGGAAGGUCCCCCACAUUGGAACUGAGACACGGUCCAAACUCCUACGGGAGGCAGCAGUGAGGAAUAUUGGUCAAUGGACGAGAGUCUGAACCAGCCAAGUAGCGUGCAGAAUGACGGCCCUAUGGGUUGUAAACUGCUUUUAUAAGGGAAUAAAGUGAGCCUCGUGAGGCUUUUUGCAUGUACCUUAUGAAUAAGGACCGGCUAAUUC
This 507-nucleotide ribosomal RNA is filed under the name uncultured organism. Its description in RNAcentral is "bacterial SSU rRNA". It matches the Rfam family "Bacterial small subunit ribosomal RNA", at positions 9 to 503 of the family's 1533-position model. The record is from RNAcentral.